Molecule: long non-coding RNA, 196 nt
Filed under: Ictidomys tridecemlineatus (thirteen-lined ground squirrel)
Lineage: Eukaryota; Metazoa; Chordata; Mammalia; Rodentia; Sciuridae
Description: lncRNA (ENSSTOG00000033875.1)
Source: RNAcentral
UGCUUAGCGCCUGGCUUUGGCUGAGGCUGGCUUUGAACUGGCGAUCCCCCUGCCUCAGCCUCCCAAGCCACUGGGAUGACGGGCGUGCGCCACCGUGCCCAGCUUCUGCUGCUGAUUUUAAGGUCAUCCUGCCAGGUACGGAGGGGAGCGUGGAACACGCACUUGAACAAACCAAUCUGUGAGCAGCCGUCGGUGG